AUUGAACUCUGGCGGCAGGCCUAACACAUGCAAGUCGAACGGUAACAGGAAGAAGCUUGCUUCUUUGCUGACGAGUGGCGGACGGGUGAGUAAUGUCUGGGAAACUGCCUGAUGGAGGGGGAUAACUACUGGAAACGGUAGCUAAUACCGCAUAACGUCGCAAGACCAAAGAGGGGGACCUUCGGGCCUCUUGCCAUCGGAUGUGCCCAGAUGGGAUUAGCUAGUAGGUGGGGUAACGGCUCACCUAGGCGACGAUCCCUAGCUGGUCUGAGAGGAUGACCAGCCACACUGGAACUGAGACACGGUCCAGACUCCUACGGGAGGCAGCAGUGGGGAAUAUUGCACAAUGGGCGCAAGCCUGAUGCAGCCAUGCCGCGUGUAUGAAGAAGGCCUUCGGGUUGUAAAGUACUUUCAGCGGGGAGGAAGGGAGUAAAGUUAAUACCUUUGCUCAUUGACGUUACCCGCAGAAGAAGCACCGGCUAACUCCGUG
This 490-nucleotide ribosomal RNA is filed under the name uncultured bacterium. RNAcentral's name for it is "partial 16S ribosomal RNA". It matches the Rfam family "Bacterial small subunit ribosomal RNA", at positions 30 to 507 of the family's 1533-position model. The record is from RNAcentral.